GGACUAUCCACACAAGAGAAAUUUCAUGGGCCGCUUUAGGCCUGUCAAGACCUUUUUUGGGCUGACUUUUGGAAACAUGUUUGUUUAUGGUAUGGCACCGUCUUCGUUCCUUGAGGCUGUCAAUUCUUGGUCCAAGCAAAUGAGGUAGGGUCCUCUCAAUUCUUGAUCCAAGCACAUGAGGUAGGUUCCUCUAAAAAAAAGAAGCAAAUGAGGUAGGUAAGAACUAGCAGCCAUGCUGUAGAAAAAGAAAAAGGGUAGCAGAUGUGAAUGGCAGAAGAAUAGCUCCGAAGAUUCGUCCCUGGAAAUUAAACACGUGCAGGCCACACUGCCUUGUCAACGG
Molecule: long non-coding RNA, 340 nt
Filed under: Brachypodium distachyon (stiff brome)
Lineage: Eukaryota; Viridiplantae; Streptophyta; Magnoliopsida; Poales; Poaceae
Description: long non-coding RNA (BDIS_LNC004979)
Source: RNAcentral